UUUGAUCCUGGCUCAGGAUGAACGCUAGCGACAGGCCUAACACAUGCAAGUCGAGGGGCAUCGGGAGCGAAGCUUGCUUUGCUCCGCCGGCGACCGGCGCACGGGUGAGUAACGCGUAUGCAACCUGCCCGUUUCAGCGGGAUAACCCGGAGAAAUCCGGCCUAAUACCGCAUGUGGCCGAGGGAAGGCAUCUUCUUUCGGCCAAAGGAGGCGACUCCGGAGACGGAUGGGCAUGCGUGACAUUAGCUUGUUGGCGGGGUAACGGCCCACCAAGGCGACGAUGUCUAGGGGUUCUGAGAGGAAGGUCCCCCACACUGGUACUGAGACACGGACUAGACUCCUACGGGAGGCAGCAGUGAGGAAUAUUGGUCAAUGGGCGAGAGCCUGAACCAGCCAAGUCGCGUGAAGGAUGACGGCCCUACGGGUUGUAAACUUCUUUUGUCAGGGAGCAAUUGGGUCCACGCGUGGGCUUAGCGAGAGUACCUGAAGAAAAAGCAUCGGCUAACUCCGUG
This 512-nucleotide ribosomal RNA is filed under the name uncultured Porphyromonadaceae bacterium. Its description in RNAcentral is "bacterial SSU rRNA". It matches the Rfam family "Bacterial small subunit ribosomal RNA", at positions 12 to 507 of the family's 1533-position model. The record is from RNAcentral. Lineage: Bacteria; Pseudomonadati; Bacteroidota; Bacteroidia; Bacteroidales; Porphyromonadaceae.